This 305-nucleotide ribosomal RNA is filed under the name uncultured bacterium. RNAcentral describes it as "bacterial SSU rRNA". It matches the Rfam family "Bacterial small subunit ribosomal RNA", at positions 337 to 659 of the family's 1533-position model. The record is from RNAcentral.
UCCUACGGGAGGCAGCAGUGGGGAAUAUUGGGCAAUGGGGGGAACCCUGACCCAGCGACGCCGCGUGAGGGAAGAAGGUUUUCGGAUUGUAAACCUCUGUCCUUGGUGACGAUAAUGACGGUAGCCAAGGAGGAAGCCACGGCUAACUACGUGCCAGCAGCCGCGGUAAUACGUAGGUGGCGAGCGUUGUCCGGAAUUACUGGGUGUAAAGGGCGUGUAGGCGGGACUGCAAGUCAGAUGUGAAACCCAUGGGCUCAACCCAUGGCCUGCAUUUGAAACUGUAGUUCUUGAGUGAUGGAGAGGCA